AUUGAACGCUGGCGGCAUGCCUUACACAUGCAAGUCGAACGGCAUCGCGGGAAAGCUUGCUUUCCUGGCGGCGAGUGGCGAACGGGUGAGUAACACAUCGGAACGUACCGGCUAGUGGGGGAUAACCCGUCGAAAGACGGGCUAAUACCGCAUACGCUCUUCGGAGGAAAGCAGGGGACCUUUGGGCCUUGCGCUAGCCGAGCGGCCGAUGUCCGAUUAGCUAGUUGGUGGGGUAAAGGCCUACCAAGGCGACGAUCGGUAGCGGGUCUGAGAGGACGAUCCGCCACACUGGGACUGAGACACGGCCCAGACUCCUACGGGAGGCAGCAGUGGGGAAUCUUGGACAAUGGGGGCAACCCUGAUCCAGCAAUGCCGCGUGGGUGAAGAAGGCCUUCGGGUUGUAAAGCCUUUUCGGCAGGGAAGAAAUCGGCGGGGCGAAUAACCCUGCUGGAUGACGGUACCUGCAGAAGAAGCACCGGCUAACUACGUG
RNAcentral lists this ribosomal RNA (490 nucleotides) under uncultured bacterium. Its description in RNAcentral is "partial 16S ribosomal RNA". It matches the Rfam family "Bacterial small subunit ribosomal RNA", at positions 29 to 507 of the family's 1533-position model. The record is from RNAcentral.